CUUUUACAAACCUUUUAAGACUCAAUAUAGCCGUGUUUUCACCGAUCCGCACAUAAUCAUCAACGGAAUCUGCUAAAACACCAUCGGCAAGCAUCCAUAUUGAGGCAGUUAUCUUUUUGUAGAGAAGAUAAGCCGAGUUGUCUUGCAACAUUUAUUUUUUAGACGAAGUAUGAAUCAUACACUUCAACUGCUCUUUGAAUUCGGAGGAAAGCGGGCGCCACAUUCUAA
This 228-nucleotide long non-coding RNA is filed under the name Panax ginseng (ginseng). RNAcentral describes it as "long non-coding RNA (PGIN_LNC017469)". The record is from RNAcentral. Lineage: Eukaryota; Viridiplantae; Streptophyta; Magnoliopsida; Apiales; Araliaceae.